Arachis ipaensis is the source of this 367-nucleotide non-coding RNA. The record is from RefSeq and is a predicted model, not a curated record. NCBI's taxonomy places the organism in Eukaryota, Viridiplantae, Streptophyta, Magnoliopsida, Fabales, Fabaceae.
AGUCACUUUGUCUUUUCUGAAGGGAAUACUAUUCUAAACUAGAACUUCAAACUUCAAAGCAAUGACCACCAAUUGUUUAUUUGUAAAAAUUUGAUGUUGUAAUUUCUAAUACCUUAACAUGCUGCAGCACUGUAGCAGUGAAGAAUACAAUUAAUGGAGAAGAAAGAGUGAUACUUGAUGCAAGAGAAGUCAUUUCAGGGCUCCAGAAUCCAAUUGUUAAGGAUUCAAAGAGUGUGUGGCCAACUGAAUCAGCUAUUGUUUAGAGCCAAGUAAGUAAUCUUAUUGUUAUAUCAAGAUUCACCUCUCUCUUGAAAUGACCCUUAGUUGACUCCUUUAUUUAUUUAUUUUAUAUUUAUUCAUACACUUU